CAUGUAUUCUUUGUGUCUUGACAUAAAUGACUUGCUCUGUUGAAUGCAAUCGCAGAAGUUCUGUGCACGUUGUGUGUUUGGUGGUUUUCUUAAUAAGCUUUGUUCUAUGGGUGAUUUUAAAGAGUAGAAAGUUUUCAGUGAUGUUCAAUGUGCGUUUGGUUGGUUUAGAAAAUGGCAGUUGGCAAUCAACGUGCAAUAGACGAAGGAGAGUUUGUGACAGCUGAGAUUCACCCUUCAACUUUUCUCUGCAAAUAAUGCUUUAGAAACAGAUUUUUUUAGAAGAUUAAACUCAAAAUUUGUCUUUAUUACCCCUUAUUCCAAUUUUGCAGAAAACAAUACAUUUUCUCCAAGUUUGGAAAGCGAAAUUAACUUUAGACUGUUUAAGCAGACAUUAGCAGAUAUGCCAUAUCGAAAUCAAUCAUCUGCAAAAUCUAAGUGAAGGUGUCUCACUGCAUGUGUGUGACGUAUAAGAACACAGUUUUAUCUACACUCUAUUAUGCUUGACAGUCAUCGUAAUAUUUUGAAUUGCCGAGAUUUAAGCUGAAACUUGAAAGGAGAUCAAGUGCUGCACAAGUAUUAUGUUAUACCCGGAUUAGAGUUAUUACUCUACAAAAGUAAUUGUCAUUUGCACAUGCAUUUAGACAAUAAUGAUCAAGCAUGUGAAACGAUAAGGAACCGAUCAACAGCAGACACAACAAUGCAAAUGACCUUAGCUGGUUGCAAUAAACUCUAUGGAAGGUGAAUUGAGUAGCUUCCCUUCGAGCUUCUAUAACAUGGAGGUCAGCUGAGUAGCGUCGGUCUUCAAUGUAUUAUAAAAUCCUUUAGAAGAGCGAACUAAGCGACCCAGGCGGGAUUUUUAAGCAGCUGUAUCACAGGAAUUUAUAUUCGAUUUUUGUAUUUUAUUCUGCAUCUACAUUUUGUUUCACUGGCAGAUGAAAAUUGAUACAGAUUCACGUUAUGGCCAAAUCUGUAUAAAUAUUUACAGAAACAGCUGGCUCAAUGCUCCUGGCAUGUGAAUGAUAUGAUGAUGUGAUGACUUGCUUGGCUGAAAAGUGGGUUACUUGGUAACCAAAGGGUCCAUUUAGAAUACCAGCUGUAUCUUCAGCAAUAAACCCUUAAGGGGGGGUGUCGGUACCUUUAGUAGAAGUUAAAGGAGGGGAACUUGUAGAUGUUCUGAGACUAUCUUCCUUGUUGGAUGUUUUGUUGGGGCUGAGGGUGACUGUCAAUAUUGCUAGUUUUGGGUCUUGGACAGAAGCAGCUUGUUUUCGGAGGAUAAUGCGGCGUUUUUUCUCAGCGUAUGUUGGCUUCUGGACUCUUCGCCGUCAAGGACGAAGCGGACGCUUUACCUGUACUGGAUAUUUAUUGGAGUAUAAAGUUCUUUUUAUUAUCUAUACAUUCCCGCUCGAUGGAUUCAUGGGAGUCCUGUAAAAACUCUUCACGUUUCCUUCCAAUAAGGAUGGCCUGGCUCUUUGUCUUCUCCGACACACUUGCUUGAUAAGAACUUUGAAGAUAACCCUUUCAGCUAUCUAUGCCAGAAGUCACUAUCAAGCGUGGCGUAAGGUAAUGGCUCAUCCUAUCUCCGUUGUUUUUCAAUGUAUACUCAGAAAUAAUUAUCAAAGACGCACUUUCGGAGGCAGCGGUGGGCAUUGUCGUUAAUGGCGAAUUGAUAAAUAACAUGCGGUACGCGGAUGACACAGUUUUGUUGGCCUCUAGCUCAGAAGAUCUACAGCGAAGUUUGAACAGUGUGAUAGUAAAGUGCGACGCAGCUGGCUUAGAACUAAGCAUAAAAAAGACUAAAGUUUGAGUAAUUCGUAAACAGCAGAAUAUCAGAGCUAAUAGAGUCAAAUGCGUGCGCUUGGAAUAAGUUCAUCAGUUCAUAUACCUAGCAACGUUAUAACAGAAAAUGCAGAUAGCACCACAUCCGUAAGAUCAAGGAUAGAACAAGGAAGAGCUUACAGAAAAAUGAGCAACGUUCUAGGAUGCAGGGACCUAAAAUUAUCCCUACGAAUCCGACUACUGAGAUGCUACGUAUUCUCUACAUUACUGUACGGAGUUGAGGCUUGGACUAUCAACAAAAAUGAAGAAAGUCGGCUUGAAAUGUGGGCCUACAGGAGUGUUGGGGUGGCACUUUCCUGAGAUUGGUCAAAUCCAGUUCGUGGGAUCAAAAUGUACUGGUCUCACUCGGAUAAAUAAUAAGGAAUGUCAAGGAAUGAGCAAGGUUUGUUUUUUUUUUCUGGGUUUAUUGUGAUUUUCCAGGUUUCGGACCAAUCCUGGAAGGCGUCGAGUUGCUUUUGGAGGGGCAAACGAUAUAUUUGGGGUUACGGUGGGAGUAGCGGAGGCCAGUGUCGUCGGCGAAUAGGGCUAUUCUAGUGUGCGGGUUUUUGGGGGUAUCGGUCGUGAAUAGUUUAUAAAGGAUUGGGGAGAGCGGGGCGCUUUGGGGGACCCCAGCCUCGAUGGACCGAUUAGAGAAUUUGGUUCCGUUCAGUGCUAUGAAAGGGUCUACUUGCUGGGCUGGUGGAAGCUACCGCUUUUUUUGUCCGUCAAUGGUGCGGAGACGGUGGAGAGAUGGGGGACGUAUUCUCUCAUCCAGUUGCAGGUCCCCAAGAACCCUUGCAUCUGCUUGAGUGUUUUGGACCUUGGGAAAUUGUAAAUCUGGACCAGGUGUUUUUGAUGCACCUCUACUGUGGAUCCAUUGAUAUGGUACCCAAGAUAAUCCAGGUUGUCCGUGGUUAGCUGACACUUCUGCGAAAAUUUUUAAAUUGUGCAGCCGGAGCCGCUCGAAGACUAUCUUGAGGUGUACCGAAUGUUCUUCCAGCGUGUCGCUAUGGAUUAUUAUGUCGUCUAAAUAGACGAGCUCGCUGGAUCCUAUUAAUGCUAACAGGACUUCCAAAGUCAUCAGCUUCUGGAAGGUGGAUGGGGCGUUUUUUUAGGCCGAAACGCAUCACUACAAACUGGUAGCUUGCACCAUCACGGGUCGAGAAGGCGGUAUAUGCGUUUCUGAGAAAACCUUUGAUGUGGACAGGGCCUUCAUUCCGGGAACACUUGGGCACAAUGUUACAGCCACUUGGGUUAUUCGGGAAACUUUAACUUGGAAAUCGCGUCUAGGAAAAACCGAACUUUCUCUAAAGAGCCGUUGCUCUGAGCGGGAUAAGAUGGUGCUCAGGAAAAAUCAACCGUACACGACUAGGUGAGCUCAUCGACUGAUCCCUUGAAGUCCUUUGAACAUAUUUUAUUCAGCUAAGUUCUACACCCUUCCUACUGCUCCUUAUCUACCAGUCCUUAUGUCUCACAUCGUUAGAGUGUUUAAUACUGUGUAAAAAAGAAAAAAUUAACAUCGUUUGACUUAAUCUACCUUAACAUUUUUUUAAAAAGAGGUUUGGAAAAUCUGCUUCCAGACGCCCCAGGCAUUGAUGGUCUAGCGCCUGGGGUGGUAUGGGGCUCUUACCCACUAAAUCCCUUUCCUCCGUUUGCCUCACUACACCUGGCACUCCUCCUAUUGGGAUAUUCUUUAGAUGAAGUAAGGUUGACUGUCUUUUUUCUAGUUCCUGUUAUUUUCUUUCUUCUCUCUCCUUUGUUUCAACUAUUCUUUCCAUAAAUUUUGUUAUUUUCCUCUAGUUGUCCUUAUUGUCGAUCAUUUUACUAAUUAAAUUGUAUUUAUUUAGACUUCCUAUAUCUAACUCCAAGUUACUCCUUAGGUUUUCAAAUCUUUCGCAUUGCGAAAGCAUAUGUUCCGCGUCAUCAUUGCCGGAAUCCUCAUACAUACAGCGGGGGCUGUUUCUUCUUUUAUAUUUAUGCAGGUAAGUUGAAAAACACCCAUGGCGCAAUAAAAAUUGUGUUACACUGUAAUUUAUGGUUCCGAAUUUUUGAUUUAUCCAUUGCGAGAUGUCCGGUAUAAUUUGUCUUGUCCAAGCUUCUUUCUCACUGAUUUGCCAUCUCUCCUGCUACUCUUCUAAAGUGUUUUGUCUCUCCUCGAUGUACAUUAUUUUCUUCUCUUCCUCUGUCAUUAUCUGUCUUUGACGGGAUUCUUCAAAAAUUCUGGCACGUUCUUUGGCUAACAUAGUAAUCGGUAUUUGUCCUGUUAUAAGAGAGCAUCCGCAGAUACGGUGUGAUAAGCACUAGCACAUCGUAGCGCUAGCAUUCUCUGGCAAGUCUGCGUUCAUUACGGGAACAUCAUGUAUGAUGAAGUCAUGAAAUUAUCGAGAUACGUAGAAG
Molecule: long non-coding RNA, 4212 nt
Organism: Dendroctonus ponderosae (mountain pine beetle)
Lineage: Eukaryota; Metazoa; Arthropoda; Insecta; Coleoptera; Curculionidae
Exons: 3
Source: RefSeq, a predicted model, not a curated record